Oncorhynchus mykiss (rainbow trout) is the source of this 3950-nucleotide non-coding RNA. The record is from RefSeq and is a predicted model, not a curated record. NCBI's taxonomy places the organism in Eukaryota, Metazoa, Chordata, Actinopteri, Salmoniformes, Salmonidae.
CAAAGCUGGUGUAUAGGACCAGCAUGUGAGAGAUGAACAGCGGCAGCUGCUGUCUGUUACGCUCUUUCAAUGAGUUGUGAGUGCAAGCAGAGCAGAAACUGGCUACUCUUUAGUUGACUGACCUAGCUGGCAAGGAUCAGAUGGUGACAGGUGUUCCAGCAGGAUCAGACAACCAGGGAAGACCAGUCUACGGAGCUCAGGUGAAUUUUGCUGUAUAUUAUAACAAUCAGCGAAUGGAUACAAAGUUCCAUCUCGAGUUGAUGGCUACAGUCUGGGAUCAGGGAAUAAUGCUUCCAGAAGGGUUGGAUGAACACCCAGGAGCCCUCAUUCCCCGUCCCGUCCAGGGUGACCCGCAUGGCGUUCUUCUCCAGCAGGGCAGGCAGACGCUUAUUCACAGUCAGAGAUUACCACGAGCCCGUCCUCCCCAGUUAAGGUGCCACCAACCUCCUGUGCUCAACAGUGCUGCUGAUAAUGCAGACCUUACCUGAAUGUGUGCUGCUGGGAAUGCAGACCUUACCUGAAUGUGUGCUGCUGGGAAUGCAGACCUUACCUGAAUGUGUGCUGCUGGGAAUGCAGACCUUACCUGAAUGACAGUGCCAUAUUUUACUACAUCGCCAUGGACCUUCUUGUUUUCGGUCUCGUUCUGUUUUUGCUCCAGAUUAGAGGCAUGCUGUGAAGAACAAGGAAAGGUUUAAUCAGUGUCCAAUGUACUGUUUCUAUCCUGAUGGUAUGAUCCUUGUUCUACUGUUUCUAACCUGAUGGUAUGAUCCUUGUUCUACUGUUUCUAACCUGAUGGUAUGAUCCUUGUUCUACUGUUUCUAUCCUGAUGGUAUGAUCCUUGUUCUACUGUUUCUAUCCUGAUGGUAUGAUCCUUGUUCUACUGUUUCUAACCUGAUGGUAUGAUCCUUGUUCUACUGUUUCUAACCUGAUGGUAUGAUCCUUGUUCUACUGUUUCUAUCCUGAUGGUAUGAUCCUUGUUCUACUGUUUCUAUCCUGAUGGUAUGACCUGUGUUCUACUGUUUCUAACCUGAUGGUAUGAUCCUUGUUCUACUGUUUCUAACCUGAUGGUAUGAUCCUUGUUCUACUGUUUCUAUCCCGAUGGUAUGAUCCUUGUUCUACUGUCUCUAACCUGGUGGUAUGACCCUUGUUCUACUGUCUCUAACCUGGUGGUAUGACUCUUGUUCUACUGUCUCUAACCUGGUGGUAUGACCCUUGUUCUACUGUCUCUAACCUGGUGGUAUGAUCCGUGUUCUACUGUUUCUAACCUGAUGGUAUGACCUGUGUUCUACUGUUUCUAACCUGAUGGUAUGAUCUGUGUUCUACUGUUUCUAGCCUGGCGGUAUGACCCUUGUUCUACUGUUUCUAACCUGAUGGUAUGAUCUGUGUUCUACUGUUUCUAGCCUGGCGGUAUGACCCUUGUUCUACUGUCUCUAACCUGGUGGUAUGACCCUUGUUCUACUGUCUCUAACCUGGUGGUAUGAUCCGUGUUCUACUGUUUCUAACCUGAUGGUAUGAUCCGUGUUCUACUGUUUCUAACCUGAUGGUAUGAUCUGUGUUCUACUGUUUCUAGCCUGGCGGUAUGACCCUUGUUCUACUGUUUCUAACCUGAUGGUAUGAUCUGUGUUCUACUGUUUCUAGCCUGGCGGUAUGACCCUUGUUCUACUGUUUCUAACCUGGCGGUAUGACCCUUGUUCUACUGUUUCUAACCUGGCGGUAUGACCCUUACGAUACAGUGUGGUGCCUGGUCUUCUUCCUGGAGUGGAUUCUUGGAGAGAAACAGAUUUUCUUUGCCUGCGUGUGUCGUUGUAGCAGAACUGUAUCCUGUGAACUGUAUUCUUCUCGAUGGAUUGGACAGAAGACGACUCAAGAGGAGCUGUUGUUUGAUGGCAGUUUGGUCAUGACAACACUCCUCCCACAGCUGUACAAGUAUUCCCCGAACUCACUGUAUGUACUGUACCUUUAUAAUGGCAAUUUCCUCAUGACCACCUCUCCCAUCAUCUGCUGAUCACCACUUCUCUUAGUCUUCGUCGUCGAUUCGUCUCAUAAAGUGUCUGUGUCCAGUGGCAAGGGAUCAGUUUGAAUUUAGAAAAGUUAUUAAAAUAAAUAAUUUUUUUUUGCUCCAUGAAGUAAUCCAAGAUGUCUGUCAUCAUGACAUGUGACACUUUGUGGUGGACACCCACCUGUUUCGAUCAAUGAGAGAAGAUUUGAAAUAAAUAAAAUGGCAGCGUACACUGUUGGAUUACUUCGUUAUUUAGGGACAAUGAGGGACAUUGGGAGCUGUUUUUGAGAGGAAAGAUCAGUCAACAAAGUGAAUGGGGUGGGGGAGCUGAAGAAGGUGUGAAACGUCUUAGGAGGACAGUUCUUACACAUUAUGUUUUGCUGGGAAAUUGAGGAGAAAUGCCACCUUUUAAUUGUUCUCAUACACAACAAUACAUUGACUGUCUCUAAGCACAACCGAAUCGCCCUUCCUAGUCUCAAAGACCUGUCUUUAAACCUCCCUCAGCCCAUUGACUUUGACAAAUCGUUUGUGUCAAUAGUAGUCCUUGGCAGAGGAUUUUUGUAGAUGUGUCUUUGUAUUGUGUUUUGAGAAUCUGUAGAGAGAAGAAUGUGGUGGUUGUGUCAUUACUGUUGUGGUCUUGAUGUUACACCUUGCAGUGUCCUUUGCCCGUUUCUGUCCCACAAUCUUGUUGUACUCCAUAACCGCAAGGUGUGUCCGCUCCCUCGUGCACAAAAUGCCCACGCUUUGUAUUUUUUUCAGCGGAGUGGACUCCAGAUAACCUGGAGUUUUACAAAGGGAAAAGAGAUGACAUGGUCUGGAAGGUUCUCUGUGGUCCUCAGUCUACAUCUAACCACCUGUAACCCCACAACACAAACCAUACAAACAUGCUUACUGUAAAUCUUAGCCGUCAGCUUGUACAUAUUUUGAAUCAAUUUACCUUAACCAGAGCUAAUGGAAUGGUGGAAUCAGAUUAUGUACCACCUACAACAAAACACCUAACAAUACACAAUUUAACCACCCUACUAAUUGUAUUGAUCUCUAUUAGACUGGGUAGCUUAGCAUACCUAUCAUGGAUUUGUCAGUACUGUCAGCUUGCUGUUAGCUAAUUAGCAUCAGCUGAGAACCAACUAACCAACCAUAGACAAUUUAUACACAUUCAUCAUUACUACCAACACACCGAGAGUGAGUUAGCUAUAAUCGACAAUUCUAUUUUUAGUAACAGAGUGUUUUCCAGACAAGGGUGUAAUAGAUGGCUACCAGAUUGAGUUACUCUUAUUCGCUAACGUUCGCUAGCUUACAUUCGCUAACGUUAGCCAAACUGGUAUUGCAUCACUUCCCAGCUGUCAUUUAAACGUAUUCCCCAUCCAGUCAGCCUGAAAAUCCCUCUGAUAAUCUUUGGCUGUAAGCAUCAUUUUUGAUAGCUGCAAACAACUGGCAGCAUCGGGGUAUAUUUCUGGUAGGUAGCUAGUACGGUGAAAGAUAACUUAUUUUCACAUUUGUUUGUAGUUAGCACAGCCAGACAGAACACCACUCGGGCAUGAUGACAAACAUUAGUGAAAAAAAAAAACGUAAACUUUUUUUUAGUUCUGAGACUACUAUGUGUUGGUUGUUCGAAGUAAACAACGCUAUAAACCAAGUUUGUGGGCACGCCCCAUCUAUCUAGCGGAGUGGUAUCAGCAUUUGCUAUAUUUGCUGGACUUAAUGCUUCACUGUGAGCAGCCAAAUACACAGGAAGCUGAAACUUCCUGAUUCUACCAUUGAAAUGAAAUAGUGCUCUUUCUAGCUUGUGGUUUGGAUAAUUUUGAUGUUUAUGACAAAAACAUAAUGUUGUUAAUAUAGUCAUGACUAAUCUCAGCAAAAAAAGAACGUCCUCUUACUGUCAACUGCGGUUAUUUUCAGCAAACUUAACAUAUAUAUACAAAUAUUUGUAUGACACUAACAAGAUUCAACA